CAUUAAAGAGUUCUAUAACUCCCAAACCCAUGUGAACAUACCUAACGUUGCCUCGGCAGGUCGCACCUACCUUGUAGCACCCUACCCUGUAGGGCCUACCCGGGAGGUGCGGGUAAGCCUGCCGGCGGCCCACCAAACUCUGUUUGAUAUUGAAUUCUGAACCUAUAACUAAAUAAGUUAAAACUUUCAACAACGGAUCUCUUGGUUCUGGCAUCGAUGAAGAACGCAGCGAAAUGCGAUAAGUAAUGUGAAUUGCAGAAUUCAGUGAAUCAUCGAAUCUUUGAACGCAUAUUGCGCCCAUUAGUAUUCUAGUGGGCAGGACCGUUCGAGCGUCAUUUCAACCCUUAAGCCUUCGUUGCUUAGUGUUGGGAGCCUACGGCAACGUAGCUCCUCAAAGUUAGUGGCGGAGUUGGUUCACACUCUAGACGUAGUAAUUUUUUAUCUCGCCUAUUAGUUGGACUAAUCCCCUGCCGUAAAACCCCCAAUUUAUCAAGGUUGACCUCGAAUCGGUUCAGACAAACUCGCUAAAUUGAAGCAUCUUAGUCAGCGAAGGAAAAGAAACCAACAGGGAUUGCCCUAGUAACGGCGAGUGAAGCGGCAACAGCUCAAAUUUGAAAUCUGGCCCUCGGGUCCGAGUUGUAAUUUGUAGAGGAUGCUUUUGGCGCGGUGCCUUCCGAGUUCCCUGGAACGGGACGCCUUAGAGGGUGAGAGCCCCGUACGGUUGGACACCAAGCCUCUGUAAAGCUCCUUCGACGAGUCGAGUAGCUUGGGAAUGCUGCUCUAAAUGGGAGGUAAAUUUCUUCUAAAGCUAAAUAUUGGCCAGAGA
RNAcentral lists this ribosomal RNA (826 nucleotides) under fungal endophyte. Its description in RNAcentral is "eukaryotic LSU rRNA". The stretch from base 497 to 826 matches the Rfam family "Eukaryotic large subunit ribosomal RNA", at positions 1 to 333 of the family's 3401-position model. Lineage: Eukaryota; Fungi. The record is from RNAcentral.